AACUAGGCUUGUUCUUGGUAUGAGCUUUCAUGUGCAUGCGUAUCUGAAGAAGUGUGCAUGCACACGAAAGCUCAUACCAAGAACAAACUAAUUGGU
RNAcentral lists this microRNA precursor (96 nucleotides) under Podarcis lilfordi (Lilford's wall lizard). The record is from RNAcentral. Lineage: Eukaryota; Metazoa; Chordata; Lepidosauria; Squamata; Lacertidae.